This 721-nucleotide ribosomal RNA is filed under the name uncultured bacterium. RNAcentral describes it as "bacterial SSU rRNA". It matches the Rfam family "Bacterial small subunit ribosomal RNA", at positions 57 to 794 of the family's 1533-position model. The record is from RNAcentral.
GCAGGUCGAACGGACGAUGAAGAGCUUGCUUUUCAAGUUAGUGGCGGACGGCUGAGUAACGCGUGGGUAACCUGCCUCAUACAGGGGGAUAGCAGCUGGAAACGGCUGAUAAAACCGCAUAAGCGCACAGCAUCGCAUGAUGCAGUGUGAAAAACUCCGGUGGUAUGAGAUGGACCCGCGUCUGAUUAGCUGGUUGGUGAGGUAACGGCCCACCAAGGCGACGAUCAGUAGCCGGCCUGAGAGAGUGACCGGCCACAUUGGGACUGAGACACGGCCCAAACUCCUACGGGAGGCAGCAGUGGGGAAUAUUGCACAAUGGGGGAAACCCUGAUGCAGCGACGCCGCGUGAAGGAAGAAGUAUCUCGGUAUGUAAACUUCUAUCAGCAGGGAAGAUAAUGACGGUACCUGACUAAGAAGCCCCGGCUAACUACGUGCCAGCAGCCGCGGUAAUACGUAGGGGGCAAGCGUUAUCCGGAUUUACUGGGUGUAAAGGGAGCGUAGGCGGCGGAGCAAGUCAGAAGUGAAAGCCCGGGGCUCAACCCCGGGACGGCUUUUGAAACUGCCCUGCUUGAUUUCAGGAGAGGUAAGCGGAAUUCCUAGUGUAGCGGUGAAAUGCGUAGAUAUUGGGAGGAACACCAGUGGCGAAGGCGGCUUACUGGACGAUGACUGACGUUGAGGCUCGAAAGCGUGGGGAGCAAACAGGAUUAGAUACCCUGGUAGU